This 460-nucleotide ribosomal RNA is filed under the name uncultured bacterium. RNAcentral's name for it is "partial 16S ribosomal RNA". It matches the Rfam family "Bacterial small subunit ribosomal RNA", at positions 338 to 795 of the family's 1533-position model. The record is from RNAcentral.
CCUACGGGUGGCAGCAGUGAGGAAUAUUGGUCAAUGGCCGGAAGGCUGAACCAGCCAUGCCGCGUGAAGGUCAGUGCCCUUUGGGCGUUAAACUUCUUUUUUGCGGGAGCAAUAAUGGUCACGUGUUGCCAUACGAUAGUACCGUACGAAUAAGCAUCGGCUAACUCCGUUCCAUCAGCCGCGGUAAUACGGGGGAUGCAAGCGUUAUCCGGAUUUAUUGGGUUUAAAGGGUGCGUAGGCUGUGAGGUAAGUUAGCGGUGAAAUGCCCCCGCUCAACGGGGUGAAGUGCCAUUGAUACUGCGUUGCUGGAAUGCGGAUGACGUGGGAGGAAUGUGUGGUGUAGCGGUGAAAUGCAUAGAUAGUACACAGAACACUAGUGGCGAAGGCGGGUUCCUGGACAUUAACUGACGCUGAGGCACGAAGGCCAGGGGAGCGAAAGGGAUUAGAUACCCCUGUAGUC